This is a long non-coding RNA of Sinocyclocheilus anshuiensis, 291 nucleotides long. RefSeq lists it as uncharacterized. NCBI's taxonomy places the organism in Eukaryota, Metazoa, Chordata, Actinopteri, Cypriniformes, Cyprinidae. The transcript has 3 exons. The record is from RefSeq and is a predicted model, not a curated record.
CAGCAACAAGAAUACCCUAGCAACAUGCUACAAACCCACAGAACACCUAAUUUAUUUUAUUUUUAUUGUCUUUUUUAUUUUAUUUUAAAGCAACCAUAUAGCAUAUUUUUGCAUUUAUUUUUGAUGAUGUUUCGGAGAUUCAGACGAUGCCUGGAACCGAACAACAAAAACUUCUUCCAUCUGAGAGAGGAUGAACACAAACGCCGACUCGACAAAGUCAAUGAUGCACAACAAUCAAACAGCUUGCAAAAUGAGAGAAAGCAUCUCACCUCCAAGGUGCCCAUGUCUGAG